This 59-nucleotide microRNA precursor is filed under the name Columba livia (rock pigeon). Its description in RNAcentral is "Cli-Mir-9623_pre stem-loop". Lineage: Eukaryota; Metazoa; Chordata; Aves; Columbiformes; Columbidae. The record is from RNAcentral.
AGUGUGGGAUUUAAAGUUGUGUGUAACUCGUGACAGCAUACCUUUAAAUCCUGGUCUGG